Non-coding RNA from Coprinopsis sp. MPI-PUGE-AT-0042, 106 nucleotides. NCBI's taxonomy places the organism in Eukaryota, Fungi, Basidiomycota, Agaricomycetes, Agaricales, Psathyrellaceae. The record is from the annotation of a GenBank genome assembly.
GCCCGCCUAGCUCAAUCGGAUAGAGCGUCAGACUCUUAGUCUAGGUGGGUUACCCAUUCACUAUUACGUGAUCUGAAGGCUGCGAGUUCGACCCUCGCGGUGGGCU